GAGGGGAGGCCUAACUGCAGUUCGAGCGGUAGAGAGAACUUGCUUCUCUUGAGAGCGGCGGACGGCUGAGUAAUGCCUAGGAAUCUGCCUAGUGGUGGGGGAUAACGUUCGGAAACGGACGCUAAUACCGCAUACGUCCUACGGGAGAAAGCGGGGGAUCUUCGGACCUCGCGCCAUUAGAUGAGCCUAGGUCGGAUUAGCUAGUUGGUGAGGUAAUGGCUCACCAAGGCGACGAUCCGUAACUGGUCUGAGAGGAUGAUCAGUCACACUGGAACUGAGACACGGUCCAGACUCCUACGGGAGGCAGCAGUGGGGAAUAUUGGACAAUGGGCGAAAGCCUGAUCCAGCCAUGCCGCGUGUGUGAAGAAGGUCUUCGGAUUGCAAAGCACUUUAAGUUGGGAGGAAGGGCCACACACCUAAUUACGCUAAUUGUUUUGACGUCACCCGACCAGAGUAUUCCACCCGGCUAACUUCCGUGCCAUCAGCCCCGGGUAAUCACCAAGGGGGGCAAGGGAUUUAUCCGAAUUUACCUGGGCCGUAAUAGCGCGCCGUAGGAUGUGUUCAGUAGGUUUGGGAAGUGGAAAUUCCCCGGGGCUCUAACCUGGGGAACCUGCUUUUUCAAAAUCGGCUUAAACCUAAAAGUACGGCAAAAAGCGGUGGGUGAGAAUUUCUUCUGUGCUAGCGGCGUGAAAAUGCGUUCAUAUCUUUGGAAAGGGAACCCCCCUUGUGGCUAAGUGGGGACCUCCCCUGGGACUGUAUCUCGAACCACUGAAGGUUGCCUAAAAGCUCGGUGGGACGCCAAACACGGAUUUAUUUUGCACCCGGGUAGCCCCCCCGCCUCUUUAACGAUCUUCUAUCUACUCACUUGUGUAACUCUUCCA
RNAcentral lists this ribosomal RNA (881 nucleotides) under Pseudomonas anguilliseptica. RNAcentral's name for it is "bacterial SSU rRNA". The stretch from base 3 to 508 matches the Rfam family "Bacterial small subunit ribosomal RNA", at positions 39 to 535 of the family's 1533-position model. The record is from RNAcentral. Lineage: Bacteria; Pseudomonadati; Pseudomonadota; Gammaproteobacteria; Pseudomonadales; Pseudomonadaceae.